RNAcentral lists this ribosomal RNA (531 nucleotides) under uncultured bacterium. Its description in RNAcentral is "bacterial SSU rRNA". It matches the Rfam family "Bacterial small subunit ribosomal RNA", at positions 776 to 1305 of the family's 1533-position model. The record is from RNAcentral.
AAAUAGAUACCCGGGUAGUCCACGCCGUAAACGAUGAGUGCUAAGUGUUAGAGGGUUUCCGCCCUUUAGUGCUGCAGCUAACGCAUUAAGCACUCCGCCUGGGGAGUACGGUCGCAAGACUGAAACUCAAAGGAAUUGACGGGGGCCCGCACAAGCGGUGGAGCAUGUGGUUUAAUUCGAAGCAACGCGAAGAACCUUACCAGGUCUUGACAUCCUCUGACAACUCUAGAGAUAGAGCGUUCCCCUUCGGGGGACAGAGUGACAGGUGGUGCAUGGUUGUCGUCAGCUCGUGUCGUGAGAUGUUGGGCUAAGUCCCGCAACGAGCGCAACCCUUGAUCUUAGUUGCCAGCAUUUAGUUGGGCACUCUAAGGUGACUGCCGGUGACAAACCGGAGGAAGGUGGGGAUGACGUCAAAUCAUCAUGCCCCUUAUGACCUGGGCUACACACGUGCUACAAUGGAUGGUACAAAGGGCUGCAAGACCGCGAGGUCAAGCCAAUCCCAUAAAACCNUUCUCAGUUCGGAUUGUAGGC